UAAAUAGCCGCAACUCGUGCUAAGGUAGCAUAAUCAUUUGUCUUUUAAAUGAAGACUAGAACAAAAGAUAUAAUAUUUAAAUAUAUAUAUUUAACUUUAAUAUUAAACUUAUCUCAAAUAUAAAAAGAUAUUUAUUUUUCAAAAAGACGACAAGACCCUAUUGAACUUAACUUAAGUUAAACUGGGGCAGUUAAUUAAUUAAUAUUUUAAAAUAUAAUUUAUCUUUACACAUCCAAAACAAUUGAAUUAUUAAGUUACCAUAGGGAUAACAGCACAAUUUUUUUUUAAAGCUCUCAUUAAAAAAAAAGAUUGUGACCUCGAUGUUGAAUUAAUAACCUAAUUUUAAAGCAAACUUUAAAAAAGGAAGUCUGUUCGACUUUUAAAAAAUUACAUGAUUUGAGUUCAGACCGGUAUAAGCCAGGUCGGUUUCUAUCUUUUAUAAAUAAUUUUACAGUACGAAAGGACCUAAAAAUUUGAUUAUAAUCAAAUUAAUUGGCAGAAAAAUGCAUUAGAAUUAGAAUCUAAUAAAACU
This is a ribosomal RNA of 532 nucleotides. The stretch from base 141 to 438 matches the Rfam family "Bacterial large subunit ribosomal RNA", at positions 2074 to 2646 of the family's 2925-position model.